RNAcentral lists this ribosomal RNA (478 nucleotides) under uncultured bacterium. RNAcentral describes it as "bacterial SSU rRNA". It matches the Rfam family "Bacterial small subunit ribosomal RNA", at positions 29 to 524 of the family's 1533-position model. The record is from RNAcentral.
AUUGAACGCUGGCGGCGUGCCUAACACAUGCAAGUCGAGCGGUAACAGGUGUAGCAAUACAUGCUGACGAGCGGCGGACGGGUGAGUAACGCUUGGGAAUCUGCCUAUUAGUGGGGGACAACCCGGGGAAACUCGGGCUAAUACCGCAUACGCUCUACGGAGGAAAGCCGGGGACCGCAAGGCCUGGCGCUAAUAGAUGAGCCCAAGUCGGAUUAGCUAGUUGGUAGGGUAAUGGCCUCCCAAGGCGACGAUCCGUAACUGGUCUGAGAGGACGACCAGUCACACCGGAACUGAGACACGGUCCGGACUCCUACGGGAGGCAGCAGUGGGGAAUAUUGGACAAUGGGCGAAAGCCUGAUCCAGCGACGCCGCGUGGGUGAAGAAGGCCUGCGGGUUGUAAAGCCCUUUCACCCACGACGAUGAUGACGGUAGUGGGAGAAGAAGCCCCGGCUAACUUCGUGCCAGCCGCCGCAGUAAU